UGCUCAAGAUGAACGCUGGCGGCGUGCGUAAUACAUGCAAGUCGAGCGAACAGACGAGGAGCUUGCUCCUUUGACGUUAGCGGCGGACGGGUGAGUAACACGUAGGUAACCUACCUAUAAGACUGGGAUAACUUCGGGAAACCGGAGCUAAUACCGGAUAAUAUUUCGAACCGCAUGGUUCGAUAGUGAAAGAUGGCUUUGCUAUCACUUAUAGAUGGACCUGCGCCGUAUUAGCUAGUUGGUAAGGUAACGGCUUACCAAGGCAACGAUACGUAGCCGACCUGAGAGGGUGAUCGGCCACACUGGAACUGAGACACGGUCCAGACUCCUACGGGAGGCAGCAGUAGGGAAUCUUCCGCAAUGGGCGAAAGCCUGACGGAGCAACGCCGCGUGAGUGAUGAAGGUCUUCGGAUCGUAAAACUCUGUUAUUAGGGAAGAACAAACGUGUAAGUAACUGUGCACGUCUUGACGGUACCUAAUCAGAAAGCCACGGCUAACUACGUGCCAGCAGCCGCGGUAAUACGUAGGUGGCAAGCGUUAUCCGGAAUUAUUGGGCGUAAAGCGCGCGUAGGCGGUUUUUUAAGUCUGAUGUGAAAGCCCACGGCUCAACCGUGGAGGGUCAUUGGAAACUGGAAAACUUGAGUGCAGAAGAGGAAAGUGGAAUUCCAUGUGUAGCGGUGAAAUGCGCAGAGAUAUGGAGGAACACCAGUGGCGAAGGCGACUUUCUGGUCUGUAACUGACGCUGAUGUGCGAAAGCGUGGGGAUCAAACAGGAUUAGAUACCCUGGUAGUCCACGCCGUAAACGAUGAGUGCUAAGUGUUAGGGGGUUUCCGCCCCUUAGUGCUGCAGCUAACGCAUUAAGCACUCCGCCUGGGGAGUACGACCGCAAGGUUGAAACUCAAAGGAAUUGACGGGGACCCGCACAAGCGGUGGA
RNAcentral lists this ribosomal RNA (934 nucleotides) under Staphylococcus hominis. Its description in RNAcentral is "bacterial SSU rRNA". It matches the Rfam family "Bacterial small subunit ribosomal RNA", at positions 21 to 936 of the family's 1533-position model. The record is from RNAcentral. Lineage: Bacteria; Bacillati; Bacillota; Bacilli; Caryophanales; Staphylococcaceae.